UCCUGCGGCCACGCCCCGGGCCCUGCCCGGCCCCCGCAGCCAGGUGAGAGGGACUGAGCGCCCCGGGGCUCCAGCGGGGUCUCCCCACAUUCCCCAGCUCCGGGUGCUGCGAUAGGGGCCGCGGUGUGCACGAGAGCUGGGAUUUCUGUGUCCUUCCCCUGCCCUUCCUCCCCAGCGUUCCUCAUCUUCCUCCUGAUCAUCCUUCCUCCUCUUCCCUUCCUCCUGACCCUUCCUCCUCUUCCCCCUGACCCUUCCUCCUCUUCCUCCUCUUCCCCCUGACCCUUCCUCCUCUUCCUUUCCUCCUGAUCAUCCUUCCUCUUACUCCUGACCCUUCCUCUCUUCCUCCUGACCCUUCCUCCUCUUCCCUUCCUCCUGAUCACCCUUUCUCUGCUCUUCCUCCUGACCAUCUUUUCCCUGAACUCCCUUCCCCUGCCCUUCCUCCUGACGGUCCCCUGCUGUCCCCUGUGUCCCCAGGGCCACCGGCUGCUCUCCGGGCCCGGCCUGCCAGCGCCCAGCUGCCAAAGGACAGCACCAAGCUCCCGAGCGAGGAUUGCUCCGUGUCCCAGCACACCCUGACACUGCCCGGGAGGAAGGGGCCGUGGGAUGGGCUCGGUAGGAGCGCGGAGGGGCCGGGUCCUGCCCGGAGAGCCGGGGGGUGCUCGGCUUUGGCAGCGCUCCCGCUGUCCUUGCAGGGAAAGGAGCUUUUCCCAAGCUGGAGGAGAAGGUGGGACAGCUGGAGAAGGGAUGCCCUGGGAAGGGCAGGAUGAAAGCCGGCUCCGAGAUGAACCUGCUGGCCCUCGGGAGGUCACUCAAGGGCCACAUCACCGCCAGCUCGGCCGGCUCCGAGGUGGGCGAGCCCGGAGAAGGGCUGAAAUGCAGGGAGAGCGAGGUUUGGAGGGCACCCCCCAGCCUUUCCCCGCUGCUUUUCCCGCAGGGAUCGUUCCUCAGGCCGCUGCUGAAGCGCAGCACAUCAGCGAGGAGCGCCCUGAGGCCGCCCCAGUCCCCGCUCAUGGCGGGGAAGGGAAAUGUGAUGAGGAAGACAAAGGAGUGGGAGAUGAAAUCCGCGAUGUGAGCACGGAGCGAGAGUCUCCCAGAGAACAUCGGGCCGCACGUGGAUCGUGCAGGACCAGCCUGGAAUCAGCCUGGAAUUUGACUUUUAUCCAUCACUAUCAACGCUACAACUACGCACAUCUAUUUUUAUAUCCAGAUAUAUCGAUACACACAUAUCAGCUCUGCAGCCGUGGGCUGUCCCCACUGCAUCCCCACCUAUCCCAGCAGCUCGUUUUUGGGGUACAGAAUUCCCGGGUAAUUCAGGAACUGCUGGCUCUGUCCCAAAUCCAUCAGCAGUUCCCCAAUCCCCCUCCCAGUACCCCAAAUUUGCAGGGAUGGGUGUGGAUAAACCCUGGAUCCAGCAGGAGUGGGGGGCAGAGAUUUGGGAGGCAUCCGAUUGUCCAUUCCCUGGAGUCAGCGGGACCCGGGCUGGGCCCUGGGCUUUUCCAGCAGCUGAGCUUGGCAGGGCUUGGUUUGAAUUGGAGAAAUGUUAUUUUUUUUAAGGAUUAAAAAAAAAAUUGUCAUAAAACUUGGGUUGUGCUGUGGGAAAGGGAAAGGGGAUGCCCUUGUCCUGGUCCUGGUGAGUGUGGGCUGCAUCCCAGUGAAGGGGUUUGUGGGGUCAAUCCCAUGAAGGAGUUUGUGGGGUCAAUGCCCAUCCCCAUGAAGGAGUUUGUGGGGUCAAUCUCAAUCCCAGGAUGGGUUUUGUGGGGUCAAUCUCAAUCCCAGGAUGGGCUUUGUGGGGUCAAUCUCAAUCCCAGGAUGGGUUUUGUGGGGUCAAUCUCAAUCCCAGGAUGGGUUUUGUGGGGUCAGUCUCAAUCCCAGGAUGGGCUUUGUGGGGUCAGUUCACCCGUGUGAAUUCGUGGGGUCCAUCCGGGCUGGGUUGCUGCCCCACCCUGGUGCUCGGGGGGUUUGUUCCCCUCCAGGUGCCCGGGGUCCAUCCCCAUUCAGAGCUGCCC
This 2006-nucleotide long non-coding RNA is filed under the name Cyanistes caeruleus (blue tit). Its description in RNAcentral is "lncRNA (ENSCCEG00000006642.1)". Lineage: Eukaryota; Metazoa; Chordata; Aves; Passeriformes; Paridae. The record is from RNAcentral.